Long non-coding RNA from Parus major (Great Tit), 2784 nucleotides. RefSeq lists it as uncharacterized. The record is from RefSeq and is a predicted model, not a curated record. Lineage: Eukaryota; Metazoa; Chordata; Aves; Passeriformes; Paridae. The transcript is spliced from 3 exons.
UCUUGCCUUUCAGACAGGAAGCUCCUCAGAACAAAUAUGCCUUUACUUCUGUGUCUGAAUGUCUUCUGCUACGACAGAGCCCUGAUCUUCAUGAGAAUCCUGAGUUUCUCUUCUCUUGCAGGGGAAGGAGGCUGCGGUCGCUGAGGGAAGAAUUCACCACCACUGUGGGAUUGUGUCUCCUGCUGCCUUCUACCCUGAGAGGAGCUGCUCUGAGAGCAUUUGCACUGGGACCUCGUUAACACCGACCUCACCAAACACAGGACUUUGACCUUGGGUGCCUCAGGGAAAUCCCAGGAUCCUUGAGAGGAAGAGAUGUCCAGUUUGCUCCCAAGUGGAAAACAUCUAUGAGCCCCAAGAUCAUCCAUCUCUGACAGAGAUGGGAAUUUAAUAAUAAAUAGCUGUUAAAUGCUGAAUAAGAACUGUCACAGAGGGCCUGGUGAGAAGAAGACUCACUUGAACUUUGUCCUGAGGCUGCUUUCCCCAGUUACUGAUCUGGAUUAUUCUAUUAGCUGAGGUCAAAGCAAAAUCCUUCUGGAGGGAGGCCGGGGGAAAGCAGUGAGAAAAACCCCUUCCUCUCUCAAGGAUGGAACUGCAAUGGCCUUAGCUAGGGAUUAAAUAGAUGGGCAAGUCCCUAAUUAUGCCUCAGUUAGAUAGCAAAGAACACCAGGGGAAGGAGUGGAAAAGGGAAGAUAGGACUGUUUAUUGAACAGGAGAGGAGCAGAGAUGCCCAGGGAGAUGCAGAGAAGCCAGAACUCUGUGUAGGAGAAGUAGAUGAUUGGGGUGAUUUGCCCAGGCCUCAUCCAGAGCAUGCAAGGAUAAGUGGUGCAGAGAUUCAUCAGUCAUUGUUCAUGCCAAGCUUACACAAGCUGGGAAAGCCACACGUCAUCAUGCAGAGCUGGGCUGGAGUCAGCUGCUUUGGGGAUAUCUGCUCUGGGAUGGAGCCCUUGGCUGCAGCUCUUGCUCCUCUGCACCUCCACACCAGGCUCAUUUAUCUCCUUAUCCUGGGAUAUCUCUCCUGGAACAAGCAUGGAAGGAGAACACCGACCACAGAGGGCCCAAGUCCUGCGGUGCUUGGGGCUCACACCACGCUGCCAACGAUGUGUUGUCCUCUCAGCCUGUAAUUCACACCUUGAGAUGUCCUACAGCCAAUUAGCUCAUCAUGGCUAAUCCACUGGUCUGUCCCAGCCCACGGGGGUUCAGUCCCAACCUUCUUUCCACGUGCCAGCAUGUCAUGAUAACCUGAGACAUUAUGACAGGAGACAGCAUCCAGCAGGAUUUGUGCAAGGAACGCUGCAGAGGGAGCCCACCCCACCUGAAACCAGCAGGAGUGUGUGGGGUUUGUGGGGUUUGGCUGAGAUGGAGUUCAUUUUCCCCACAGCAGCCCUCACAGUGCUGGGCUGUGUACUGCUAACUGGGAAGGUGAUGGUAACACACCGGUGAGUUGGUUCUGCUGAGCACCAAGGCAACCUCUCCAACAUUUCCCCCACAGCAGCAGGAUGGGCAUGGGCAAGAUUUUGGGAAGAUCACAGUCAGGACAGCUGACCCAAAUGGACCAAAUGGAUAGUCUGUAUUAUAUGACAUCUGGUCAGCAAUAAAAGCUUAGAGAAAGCAUUUGCUAUGAUAUUUGCCUUGCAGAGAACCAUUUACAUUUAUUGAAUCCCUACUUCCUGCUGAUGGAAAGUAAAGAAUAAAUCUUUUCUUUUUCUUUGCUGCUGCUUGGGGCAUUUGCUUUUGUUUAAUUAAACUGCCUUUGCCUUGACAUGACUUUUUCCAUCUUAUUUUCCCCCUUUCUCCACCCUGCUGAGAAAAGGAGUGGUAGAGAGGUUUGGUGGGCACCUGUUGUCCAGCCAAGGUCAGCUCCCCUCAGAGAAGCAGAAGCAAACCAAGCAGGUUAAUGUUUCUUUUAGAGGUUGCAGAGCCUACAUGUCUGUCUCCAAAGGUUUGCAGCCUCAAGGCGAAAUCAUUUCUUCACAGCUGAGUUUUGCCUAAGGCUGCAUGGCUGAGCUGAAGCAGAAGGAGGAACAGGCUCAUGGGCUGAUUGUGCAAUGCUGAGGAGGUCAAAAGGAUAGAAGUGCUGGGACACUGGGGCUGAGCUGCAGGGCAGGGACAGGAAUGUGCUGCAGGGUGGAGAAGCUGCUCCCUGCUCUGGGAAAGAGGGCAGGUCGAUGCAGAGCCGGGCUCCAAGUUUGGGACAGGCCUGGGAAACAUUGAUGUUUUUCCCCAAAAUGGCAAAAUGAUGCUUAUCCAUCAUUAUUAUGUCACUCGGCAUGGGGAUGGCCCAAAGGCUCUGCAGAGGUCAGCGGGCUGAUCCAUAAAAAGGCACCCAAAGAUGAGCUCACUUCUUUCACUUGAAAAAGGAGUGGGUGAAAUCUUUAAUCUCUGGAGUCAGAAACAGUUUGGAGACUUGAUAGCUUGAAACUCCAGUUUUCAGUAUCCAUCAUUCUUGCAAAUGCAACUGACUCCAUCUCUCACUGCCAAGGGCUAUUUCAGGGCUGUUCAUUCCUCCCUAGGACAUGUCCUUAGAAAAUAUCUUGUUUCUUGGUUGAAUCCAAAAACAGGUUAUGUCUGAACAGCAACCCACUCCUUGUGGCUCAUUUAAAGACACCAUAAGUGGACAAAUCCCUUGAUUAUUACAGAAAUUACCUUAAACCAUCCAUGUCACUCACAACUGGACAAGAUCCUAUGACCCUGUGGUUACAGGACCAUCCUGAGGUUCAAUCCUGUGGGAUCCUGAGUGUGAGACUCGUCUCUGAGUUCCAUGAGAAGUGAGGGCACCCAGCACCA